AGUUAGACAAAGAAAUCAGACAUAGAAGUCAUACUCGAAGCAAGUGGGUCAAGUGAAGAUUUAAAAACAAUAGAAGAAUUCUCUAUAUUAUCAUUUUGCCUCAAAGGAUUGUCAUUUGUAAAGAGGGGGAUACAUUAUCCCGUGAACAUGAUUCCUUCAAAGUGACAGUGGAAAACGUUAUAGUCUGCAGAUCAGCAGAUUUCCCGACUGCUUUAGUUGGACUGUUGAUGGCAAUUUAUGCCUUCAACUUGGCUUAUCCUAAGAAAUUGGAAAAGACUUUGCUCUUCUGUCAAAGAGUUUUCAUCAACUUGGAUGAUGAAGCUCCUCUGGAUCGAAAGAUCCUAAAUGUUACUGCCAUGCUGAACCAAGAGCUAAACUGACUUUAAAAGAAUAAAAGUGGAGAAGAGAAAAUUUAUGAAUAAAAAUAAAUUAGCUCUUA
Molecule: long non-coding RNA, 439 nt
Organism: Ostrea edulis (European flat oyster)
Lineage: Eukaryota; Metazoa; Mollusca; Bivalvia; Ostreida; Ostreidae
Exons: 2
Source: RefSeq, a predicted model, not a curated record